RNAcentral lists this long non-coding RNA (1147 nucleotides) under Rattus norvegicus (Norway rat). Its description in RNAcentral is "long non-coding RNA NONRATT016338". The record is from RNAcentral. Lineage: Eukaryota; Metazoa; Chordata; Mammalia; Rodentia; Muridae.
GCUGCUCCAGGCCAGCUCUCGAGCCGCGUUUCCAGUCCCGCGGACAGGACGGAGCUUGUGCGCGGCCCGCUGACUUCACUUACCCGCGCUCUGUCCCUCUCCCUCCCCGCGGUCCGCCUGCUGCCGCGCCGUCCCCGAGCCCAGUUUGGUCGCCGCCGUCGGGUCGCGGCUCCUGAGAUUCUGCACUCGCCAUCAGGAGUCUAGCACACAGCCCUCUUGCUAUCACUUGCAACAUCUCACUGGAUAUGUUCUGAAGGACUCACCCCAAAGGCCUUCGGCUUUACAGUCUGUUCUGAACUCUCAACGCAAACAUUUUCAAUACAUUCUCAUUUUUCGAUAUGGUCAUGUCUUCCUGUCACGGGGAGAUUCUAUGCACUGUGAUGCAUUAUAGGUGGUCUGCCCAACUUUCUAAUCACAAAGGACGGAAAACAGCAGGGUUCUGUGCAGCAGAGGCCAGAAAAAUCCUGGACGCUAAAUCCGAUCACGGAAGAGAGAACUCAGCAGGUGAAGGCACUUGCAGUGAAAGCUGAGGAGCCGAGUUUAAUUGGCAGAGAACGUUCCCCAUCUACAAAAAUGUUUGAAUGAAAGCUCAACCCAAAGCUACAUUUGAAAUUGUUGAAGUCAUUAGCUGAAGAAUGAAGUAGACCCCUUUGUGGAGUUCCCAAAUUAUCUUUGAAAUAAGAGGUAGGUUUCAAAGACUGAUUCUGAUGUUUGCUGACAGAACCACAUGGCUCCUCACUAGUAACUUGCCUAACCUGAGAGUUUUUGUGAGCCAUUUCUUGUUCCUGAUCUCUCCUGGGAGUAAAGCUUUUGCUGUUGUCAGCUGUCAGAAAUGGGUCAUGCCUGUUAUAACAGGUUCCCAGGAUGUCACCGUCCUCUACAAGUUCCCUUUCUUCUGGGAAGUACAAACUGUCAAAGCCACAAUCUCCACGAGGUCCAUGGAUGAGUUCCUGGAAUGAAUAGUUUAUGUUCUGCUCUGGUGAAAAGUCUCGGUUAUGAUGAGGAAACAAAGCUGAAAGAAAUCAAGACAGAAACUUAUUCCACUCACUAGACUCUGAAGAAUGCUCUUACAAAUCUAGAUUAGCACAUCAGCCAACAGUGUGCAUAGUGGAAAAUCUGAGGCCUUGACUGCUCCUUUAACACUGAC